Non-coding RNA from Lonchura striata (white-rumped munia), 229 nucleotides. NCBI's taxonomy places the organism in Eukaryota, Metazoa, Chordata, Aves, Passeriformes, Estrildidae. The record is from RefSeq and is a predicted model, not a curated record.
GUGCCACUAAACACAUUUUUCACUGUAGCGAGUCUUGAGAAAAAUACUAAAUAAGGGCUGUGCUCUAUGAAGGACUGCCUUUGGAACUAUAACAGUGAUUAAAUUCUAUCCAGUGCAGUGAAAUUCUCAAAAUUGAGAGGAAGAGUUAUCAAGGAGUCUCAGCCAUUUCUACAUUCAUGGAUCACAUGAAAAUAUGGAAGAUCCAUGCUGAAUCCAGGUGUUGCAAUGC